CUUAAUAUGAUGUGUGAGAAUUAAAACAGCACGAUAAUUCUCGUCAGGUGUUAAAUGUGUAUUCCCGCCUUUAGCUUAGCGUUAGCUUAUCGUUAGCUUAGCAUUAGCUAAGCCAUAGCAUGAAGAAGUAAGUUUAUGUGAAUAUUACAUAAAUAAGGCAAUUUAAAAUAGUUUGUUGUGGGAAAAAAUUAAUUAAAAUAGCUUAAUAUGAUGUGUGAGAAUUAAAACGGCACGAUAAUUCUCGUCAGGUGUUAAAUGUGUAUUCCCGCCGUUAGCUUAGCGUUAGCUAAGCCAUAGUGUGAAGAAGUAAGUUUAUGUGAAUAUUACAUAAAUAAGGCAAUUUAAAAUAGUUUGUUGUGGGACAAAAAUAAAUGGCCAUCUUCAACAUUUUCUGAGAUUUCUAAUUUGUCUUUUUCUACUUGUGCAGAUGGAGUCAUGAAAUGUGACGGGACAGCCACCGAGGACUUCAUACUUCGGAGCAUCUCAAACAUGCACCACAAAGACAUGGAGGACACACCGCUGUCUCUCAGGACCUAGAAUCUUAAUGAAAGUAUAAUGAUGUUAAGGGAAGGUGUAGUGGAAAGGUGUGAUAGUGUUGAGGGAAGGUGUAAUGUUAAAGGUGUGAUAGUGUUGAGGGAAGGUGUAAUAGUGUUGAGGGAAGGGGUAAUGUUAAAGGUGUAAUAGUGUUAAGGGAAGGUAUAAUAUUGUUAAGGGAAGGUGUAAUGCAGGGGUCUCAAACUCAUUUUUGCCGAGGGCCACAUUGACAUAUUGGCUGUCCUCUGAGGGCCAGAUGUAACUUACAAAUAUAAGAAAAUGUAACCAGAUGUAAUAUAAAAUGAAUGUAAUUACUCCUUAAUGUUAAAUAACUCUCAAUAUACUAUUUAUCCAAUCAAAUAUUACAGUUGCAUGGAAAAAUGUUUGCUUGUUGCUCUAUUAACAUAAAUCCUUUUAAUUUGUCAUGUUAUGAAAUCCAAAAACUCCAUCAAUCAAGAACCAAACUAUUCAAGUGAAUAGAAAUUACAUCAAGUACAAGUUAUAUUAACUUUGAUCAAAACGUUUGAUACUGAAAUAAGGCUUAAUAAAUAUAAAAUCAAAAACUGUGAGCUGUGACAGAUUUAGCAUUUCCUCAGAUUUAGCAGUUCCUCAUCCAACCACUAGUCGGAGCUGCAGCUGCAGCACCACAAGCCCGCAGUCUUUGCUUAGUCAGAGCUACAGCCCAGCCACGGGCUACAGGACUCAGCUGAGCCAGUCUGGAGCGUUUUGAAAUUUUUUAAGUUCUUCUGUGUAUGAAAUAAAAUAACCCCACUAACCGGAUAAUACAGCUCUCUACAGUUCAUCUUUCAGCCCAAGCAGCUAACAGCAGCAGUUUAGAGCAGCGUCACGGAGGCACUGCUGGGAUUACAUUAUAAACAGGUCAGUUAGCGCUGCUAACCUCAGGAUGUUUAUAACUACGGAGUUUAGUGAACACACCACGGCAGCAAGGUUAGACUGUUGAAGGCUACUGAAGACUACUAAAGCAGGCAACGCAGCGUAAGCAAAAAAAAAACAAAAACCACACACACACACACCAAAAUACAAGUUAAGAUAAAAUAUGAAAACGAACAUAAUAAAGCAUAAAUAAUUAAAUUGAAUUGCGGGCCAGAUGUAUGUUUAUUUUGUUAACCCGUGAGGGGCCGUAUGAAACCGCGUGGUAAUAGUUUUGAGGGAAGGUGUAAUGUUAAAGGUGUAAUAAUGUUAAGGGAAGGUGUAAUGUAAAGGUGUAAUAGUGUUGAGGGAAGGUAUAAUAUUGUUAAGGGAAGGUGUAAUGUUAAAGGUGUAAUAGUGUUAAGGGAAGGUGUAAUGUUAAAGGUGUAAUAGUGUUGAGGGAAGGUGUAAUGUUAAAGGUGUAAUAGUGUUGAGGGAAGGUGUAAUGUUAAAGGUGUAAUAGUGUUAAGGGAAGGUGUAAUGUAAAGGUGUAAUAGUGUUGAGGGAAGGUAUAAUAUUGUUAAGGGAAGGUGUAAUGUAAAGCUGUAAUAGUUUUAAGGGAAGGUAAAUGUUUAGUGAAAUUGUUAUGGUGUGAAUCUAAGGUGUAUGUUAUGUUGAUGUAAAAUAAAGGCAUUAACCCCAAAUGAGAUUUACUCAUUAUUUUUAUUAUUAUAUUAAUGUUUCCCCAAACAGAAAGGGUCAAUUUAAAAUCAACAGUGGUAAGAUGGGGGUAAUUAAUUUAUCCCUUGCUUUUACUGGU
Molecule: long non-coding RNA, 2224 nt
Organism: Astyanax mexicanus (Mexican tetra)
Lineage: Eukaryota; Metazoa; Chordata; Actinopteri; Characiformes; Acestrorhamphidae
Exons: 3
Source: RefSeq, a predicted model, not a curated record